GAAAUGCGAUAAGUAAUGUGAAUUGCAGAAUUCAGUGAAUCAUCGAAUCUUUGAACUCACAUUGCGCCCGCCAGUAUUCUGGCGGGCAUGCCUGUUCGAGCGUCAUUUCAACCAUCAAGCCCCCGGCUUGUGUUGGGGACCUGCGGCUGCCCGCAGGCCCUGAAAAACAGUGGCGGGCUCGCUGUCACACCGAGCGUAGUAGCAUACAUUCUCGCUCAGGGCGUGCUGCGGGUUCCGGCCGUUAAACGACCUUCAUAACCCAAGGUUGACCUCGGAUCAGGUAGGAAGACCCGCUGAACUUAAGC
This 305-nucleotide unclassified non-coding RNA is filed under the name plant metagenome. RNAcentral's name for it is "partial contains 5.8S ribosomal RNA, internal transcribed spacer 2, and large subunit ribosomal RNA". The stretch from base 1 to 105 matches the Rfam family "5.8S ribosomal RNA", at positions 50 to 154 of the family's 154-position model. The record is from RNAcentral.